Acinonyx jubatus (cheetah) is the source of this 4036-nucleotide RNA transcript. It is a transcript of the gene named oocyte-secreted protein 2, with no coding region annotated. The transcript is spliced from 4 exons. NCBI's taxonomy places the organism in Eukaryota, Metazoa, Chordata, Mammalia, Carnivora, Felidae. The record is from RefSeq and is a predicted model, not a curated record.
CUUCUAGCUGGCACUGCCAGUAUGAGACGCUUGGGGCUGGGGGUGCAGUGAAGGCAGUGAUGUCGAAGUGCCCUUUCCCACGAUCCUGGGCCAUUAGAUCAGGAGCUUGGCUGGUGAACAUUGAGAAGUGAACCAAGAACCAUGAUGUCUAGUAAAGCCCAGUUCCUUCAAGGCUUAUCAGCAGAACAAGACAAGGUUCUAAGAGCUUCCAUGGAGAUCAGAAGAUAUCUAGCACAAGCCACUCUGAGCUGGGCACCAAGGGCUGCAGGCUGUGGUGGAACCACCUCUACUUGGUGAAGGUCACUUUUUGCAUUCUGAUGAAGUGUCCCUGGGGAUUGACUGUCCUGUAACCAACAUAACUGAGAAGGGGUAUGGGUUUAAUCACCUUGUCACCGAGUGUGGGAUUCAGAAAGAGGGUUCUUUCCAGGCAUCUUUCUCCAUGGCUAAAGCCAAGAUAACCUUUCCAUCUCAUAUACAUUGGAAACCUCUUCUAUCUGAUCAACCAACCCCAUUUCCCUUAUAGCAUGAUAAGGAUCCUUAAAGGGGGAAAGGGUGUUGCAGGGCAAAGGACGCUACCUGUGGUAAAGCCAGCUGGGAGACAAGGCAUCCCAAGCUCAGUCAUCUAAAGCAGAUCACUUAGCAUAGACCCUUAGUUAUUAGCAACGUAACAGCAGAUUGAAACAUUCAGAUUUGGAAAGUCCAAGAAUUAGCCUCCUCGUUGAUCAUCAGUUACCCACUAUGUUUUCUAUUACCCUAUAAAUACCUGGUUGUUCUCCAGAGCAAGUCCAAAACACAGCAUAAAGGAGGUGCAGCCCUCCUAAUGCCAGGAAAACCUUCAUCUGGCCAGCACCCAAGGCAACAUCGGUUUGGGGAACAGGAAGUUGUGAGAGGACCAGCUGCUUUGUGUUAUUAUAACUGAAGCUUGUCAGGUGUCCACAAUAAUCCAUCAUUGGGGGCAGCUUGAAGAGAGACUUUACUCAUUAUUAUAAAUAAAACCUCCUAAAAUGUAGCAUUUAUUAUUACUAAAGAUUCAUAAGGCGAUUAGAGUAAAAUGUAUUGUUCGUUAGCACUGAGGAAAAUUUAUGUAGCUGUGUAUUAGGGUUCUCCAGUGAGGUAGAACCAAAUGGUACGUAUGUUUGUAUGUAUGAUAAGGAAUUGUCUCAUGUGAUUAUGGAGGCUAAUAAGUCCCAAGAUCUGUAGUUGGCAAGCUGGAGACUCAGGAGACCUAACAGUGUGGUUCUAGUCCAAAAGCUUGAGACCCAGAGAGCCAGUUUUGGCUUGAGUCUGAAGGCAGGAAAAACCAGUAUCCCAACCUGAAGGCAGUGAGGCAGGAGGAGUUUCCUCUUACUCAGACUCUUUGUUCUAUUGAGGCUUACCCACACUAGGCAGGGCGUUGUGCUUUGCUCAGUCUACAGAGUCAAGUGUUAAUCUCAUCCAGAAACACCCUCACAGACACCCAGAAGAACGAUAAGCCAAAUGUCUUUACACCCUGUGGCCCAGUCAAGAUAGAAUUCACCACCACAAGCUGCAUGGUCAUAUCAUAACAUUGGUCUCUUCUCUAAAGAUCAGGUGCCUUUUCUGUAGAAUCUGUAUGGUCUGCAUAUGGUAUUGGAGACAGGUUAUUUAAACAGCAGAAUAAAAAGGUCAUGAAUGUUUUUCCCUGAAGUCCUUAGACGAGCAGGCAUCAGACAGGGGGCUCUGAGUGAGGUUUAUGUGCAAGGUGAAAUACAAUUUGAGUCUGUUUCACCAGGGUGGUUGUAAGCAAGCUCUGGAAUUUUAAAGAAUUGAACUAAGGAGUAGUUAAGGUUACACGACAGUGUUCUGGGGGUAGAGGGGAGGAGAUACAAUCAGAUAAGGGACAGUAGUUGACGAUAUGUUGCAAUGUGAUUUAGCGUGAAGAGGUAAAAGAACAACGGAGGUACCAUCUGCAGGAAGGGAGAGCAGAUGGGCCAUGGAUGACUAAAUGGGAGGAAAUGAGGGAUAAGAGGCAAAACCAGUUAAUUCUGAGAACCCUCAGACUAUAUUUUCGAGAGAGAAGAUAAUGAUGUGAGUUCAUCGAUUGUUCAACAGUAUUAAUCAGACCCAAAGAAAAGAUAAUAUCUAGAGCCAAUUGGAACCAUUCUCAGCUUUUAGCAACUAGCCUAAGAGUUCCGUUGUGGCUGGGGUGUAGGGGUACAAGAGUGUGUGGCUCCAGGGGUCCCAAACAGGCUGGGUUUGCCACCCACUGCUGACAAAAUCCAAAGGCAGAGUAAUGAGUGGCCGUGAAGCAAGAAAGGAAUUUAUUUCAGUGAGGCCAACACCGCGAAGACAGCAGACUAAGGUCUCAAAGACUAUCUCCAAAGUGCUAAAAAUAUUUCCAGGUUUAUAUAAGGAAAAUGUGGGGCAAAGGUCAGUGGGUAUGUGCAGGUGGGCAGUGAAGGUCAAAUAGGUCACUGUCUUGGAGUCAAUCACAGGCGUUGUCUUCCUGGCUCAGCUCAGUCCUUAUUGCUUGAGGGGGUUGUUUCGGUUCCCAUCAGGGGAUGCUUUGCCCUUAGGGUCUUCUGCCUGAGCCAAGAGACAAGCUGGAAUGAAGAACCCAACUAGAAAGGCUCAGGUCAAAAUGGAGGCAGGUGAAGCCAUCUUUUACCAUGACUCAUGGUCAUCGAGAAACCACCCUUUCAAACUAUCAGCUAAACUGUACUCCUACACCUGAAUCUUGCCCAGAACAUGUCCAAAUCAAGGAAACAUGUAGAAGGUAACUCCACAAAGGCCUUCCUUAUGCUAGAUCACAGGUUAAGAACCUCUCAAGCAACUGGAAUUUGAUAGAGCUGAGAAGCCUAAAGUCGGUUCAUGCAUAAUGCUACACUGACAUGUAUAUGAUCGCUUCAUUAAUCUGGAGAACAAAGAGAAAGCUCUCCACACACUUGAAACUCCAUAUUCCUGAGACCUGGAGUAUAGACCAAGGAAGUGGACGCAUUUUGAGUCAUCUUUAGAGCAUCAUUAGGACUUUUGAAGAUGUUGUCCAUAGGGUAGCCUUCAUCCUUAUGUAGUGGUUCCCAAAAUGUGGGCCCUGGAGUGGCAGAAUCAGCAUCACCUGGGAACUUGUUACAAAUGCAAAUUCUUGCUGUGUUUUAACAAGCUCCCCGGGUGAUUGUGAUUCAUGAUAAAGUUCAAGGGCCUCUUUACUUUGUGGAGGGCUACCCUGUGCGAUGAUUUUUAGGAAUACUAAACACUCUGAUUGAGCUGCUGAGGGACUAAUUAUUCACUGUUAUAUCUAUCCACCUGGGAAAGCUGAGAGGCCUAGCUUCCUCUGUUUCCAAUUUUUGACAAAAUCUAACUUGGUGAUUAUACUUUUUAAAGAGAUUUCAAGGGUCAAGUUAAUCACACAUUGUGAUCAUUGGCCGAUGCAAGACCCCCCCCUCUUGAUUUAACCGAUGUAAUCAAUCAAUCCUCCAUCAAAGCUAACUGUUCUAAUGUAUUGGAUGAAUAGAUUUUGAGUUCAAUGUGAAAUGUGGGCUGUUUUGUUUGCAUAAAUCCCUAAUUACUUUAAAUGGCAUUAUUGUAGAUACCUCAUUCUGUCUCAGGGCUUUACCCUUCCUGUUAUGUCUAGAUAUCCAUAUGGCUGGCUACUUGCUUACUUUGUCUCUCUUUUUUAAUGUUUACUUUUUGAGAGAGAGAGAGAGAGAGAGAGAGAGAGAGAGAGAGCAGGGGAGGGGUCGAGAUAGAGGGACACACGGAAUCUGAAGAAGGCUCCAGGCUGUCAGUACAGAGCCCAAUGCAUGGCUAAAACCCACAAACCAUGAGAUCAUGACCUGAGCCAAAGUCGAAUGCUCAACUGACUGAGUCACCCAGGUACCCCUUCUUGUCUCUUUAUUCACAACUAUCUUUCUGUGAGUCCUUUUCUCUCCACCCUACCUAAAAUUUCACACACAUUAACAUUUAUAUCCCCUUUAUUUUUUUCCUUCUUAGCACUAAACAUAUACUAUAUAUUUUACCUAUUUUGUUUUUCUUAUAUAUUAGGAUGUCAGGUCAUGAAGGGAAGAAAUUUGUCUUUUUU